This is a small nucleolar RNA of Sciurus carolinensis (gray squirrel), 73 nucleotides long. The record is from RefSeq and is a predicted model, not a curated record. Lineage: Eukaryota; Metazoa; Chordata; Mammalia; Rodentia; Sciuridae.
UUGCAAUAAUGCAAGCAUCUUGCUGAAUUAGAUCUUGAAGUGCAUACACAUGAGCUUUUUAACUCUGAGCAAU